RNAcentral lists this ribosomal RNA (253 nucleotides) under uncultured bacterium. Its description in RNAcentral is "partial 16S ribosomal RNA". It matches the Rfam family "Bacterial small subunit ribosomal RNA", at positions 524 to 776 of the family's 1533-position model. The record is from RNAcentral.
UACAGGGGGUGCAAACGUUGCUCGGAAUCAUUGGGCGUAAAGCGCACGUAGGCGGUUCGUUAUGUCGGAUGUGAAAGCCCUUGGCUUAACCGAGGAAGUGCAUCCGAAACUGGCGAGCUAGAGUACUAAAGAGGAUCGCGGAAUUCCCGGUGUAGAGGUGAAAUUCGUAGAUAUUGGGAAGAACACCGGUGGCGAAGGCGGCCAUCUGGACCGGCACUGACGCUGAGGCGCGAAAGCGUGGGGAGCAAACAGG